This 253-nucleotide ribosomal RNA is filed under the name uncultured bacterium. Its description in RNAcentral is "partial 16S ribosomal RNA". It matches the Rfam family "Bacterial small subunit ribosomal RNA", at positions 524 to 776 of the family's 1533-position model. The record is from RNAcentral.
UACAGAGGUCCCAAGCGUUGUUCGGAUUCACUGGGCGUAAAGGGUGCGUAGGCGGGAGAGUAAGUCCGCGGUGAAAUCUCACAGCUCAACUGUGAAACUGCCGUUGAUACUGCUUUUCUUGAGUUCGGGAGAGGUUGAUGGAAUUCCAGGUGUAGCGGUGAAAUGCGUAGAUAUCUGGAGGAACAUCGGUGGCGAAGGCGACUACCUGGCCUGUUCUUGACGCUGAGGCGCGAAAGCUAGGGUAGCAAACGGG